This 553-nucleotide unclassified non-coding RNA is filed under the name Hevea brasiliensis (rubber tree). The record is from RNAcentral. Lineage: Eukaryota; Viridiplantae; Streptophyta; Magnoliopsida; Malpighiales; Euphorbiaceae.
GUUUUUCCUGUCAAAGAUGGCAACAUCAUGAUUUAAAAGUUUGAACUUUAGCCUCAAGAACUACUUCAUGACAAAGAUAAUGACAUAAUAAUUAAGGAAGCUUCAGAGAGAGAUGAAAUUGGUGAGCAGAGCACAAAUUUCAUGAGUGAACAGGCAUUUAAUACAACUUCCAAUAAUAAGUGGAAGGCUGCACGUACACAUCACUAGAAAUACCCUUUUCCAUGAACAUGUGAAAAACUUGGUUUUCAACAAAAACUUGGAGGCAACUGACAAGCAGCAAAAUAUGUUAGUCUUCAAUUCUGAUUCUCAAACCUAUUGCCAAAAAACGUUUAGGAAGAGAAAACAAAAUACAUUCACAAGGGACACUCAUGUUAUGACUAAGGGAUGGAAGAGUUUGAUGAGUUUAAUUAGAUGGGCUGACUGUGAUGAGCCGGGCUGUUAUCUGUUAUUUUGUUAAGUAGUAGGUGUUAGUAUAAAUAGGAGGAAGGUACUUGUAAUUGAGGCAUUCCUAAUCAAUAACAAAUGUUGAAUUCUUCUUUCUUUCUUUCUUUCU